AGGACGAACGCUGGCGGCGUGCCUAACACAUGCAAGUCGAGCGGGGACAUGCGACGGAACCGGAAGUUUUCGGAUGGAAGGCGAAGAUGUAUGUUCUAGCGGCGGACGGGUGAGUAACGCGUGAGCAACCUGUCCUUCACAGGGGGAUAACACAGCGAAAGUUGUACUAAUACCGCAUAAGACCACACCGGGACAUCCCGGAGGGGUCAAAGGAGCAAUCCGGUGAAGGGUGGGCUCGCGUCCGAUUAGAUAGUUGGUGAGGUAACGGCCCACCAAGUCGACGAUCGGUAGCCGACCUGAGAGGGUGAUCGGCCACAUUGGGACUGAGACACGGCCCAAACUCCUACGGGGGGCAGCAGUGGGGAAUAUUGGGCAAAUGGGGGAAACCCUGACCCAGCAACGCCGCGUGAGGGAAGAAGGUUUUCGGAUCGUAAACCUCUGUCCUUGGUGAAGAGGAAGAGACGGUAGCCAAGGAGGAAGCCCCGGCUAACUACGUGCCAGCCGCGGC
RNAcentral lists this ribosomal RNA (508 nucleotides) under uncultured bacterium. RNAcentral describes it as "bacterial SSU rRNA". It matches the Rfam family "Bacterial small subunit ribosomal RNA", at positions 26 to 518 of the family's 1533-position model. The record is from RNAcentral.